UAGAGGAGGUGAUCUUUCUAUGUACAUUCAACAACGACAAGGGAGAAUUCCAGAAGCAACUGCAAAACAUUUUAUGCAGCAACUUGGUUUGUCUGAACCUUCUAGCUUCUUUUGCCCAUCUUCCUUUUUUGGCAUGUAGAGUGAGUGAUUUUUUCCUAUUACAUGAACUCAAAACAUAUUAAUGUUCAUGUUCAUUUCUUCGCUGCAGCAUCUGGUUUAAAGUCUGCACCUUCUAUUUCUUUUGCCCAACUUCCUUUUUUCGCAUGUAGAGUGAAUGACCUUUUACUAUUACAUGAACAUAAAAUUAUUAACGUUCAUGCUCAUUUAUUCGCUG
RNAcentral lists this long non-coding RNA (334 nucleotides) under Nicotiana benthamiana. RNAcentral describes it as "long non-coding RNA (NBEN_LNC016315)". The record is from RNAcentral. Lineage: Eukaryota; Viridiplantae; Streptophyta; Magnoliopsida; Solanales; Solanaceae.